Molecule: long non-coding RNA, 504 nt
Organism: Paramisgurnus dabryanus
Lineage: Eukaryota; Metazoa; Chordata; Actinopteri; Cypriniformes; Cobitidae
Source: RefSeq, a predicted model, not a curated record
AGAUUCUGACUGAGAGUCACAGCCUCAGAGGCAACGUAAACAAGCGCUAUAUUUCUCUAUAAACGAUGGUGUCUGUACUGCCUUACCACUUCGAGCUCGAUCCAGAGAGUUCAGAAGGCCGUUACGAUAUAAACGAUCUCCGUCAAUGAAUGCGAUUGGAUUUAACUUUUUUAGGUGUCCUUAGCUCUGCCAGAAUGCUAAACGAAGACGAAAAUGUGUUGCAAAGACAUCCAAAAGGUUUUAAGGAGAUUGCAACAGGUUCCAGGGCCUCUUACCUGCGUGAUUCAUCAUCCAGGUUUUGCACAAAUUGUCUAAAUCCCUACACACAGAACAUUUAUUGUACCGACUAUAAGCCUUUGAGGUGCAGGACUAGAAUACGCUUGGAGCUUCCUGAUCGGAAUGUUGGCUUCCGACGACCCCUGCACUGAAGAUGGCAUGCAAUCACGUCCUCCUUUGAAGGUUUCUCAAACUGUGAUGCCAGGUCCAUUGGAAUCGGGGUUUCCU